RNAcentral lists this ribosomal RNA (497 nucleotides) under uncultured bacterium. RNAcentral describes it as "partial 16S ribosomal RNA". It matches the Rfam family "Bacterial small subunit ribosomal RNA", at positions 28 to 507 of the family's 1533-position model. The record is from RNAcentral.
GAUGAACGCUGGCGGCGUGCCUAAUACAUGCAAGUCGAGCGAACGGACGAGAAGCUUGCUUCUCUGAUGUUAGCGGCGGACGGGUGAGUAACACGUGGAUAACCUACCUAUAAGACUGGGAUAACUUCGGGAAACCGUAGCUAAUACCGGCUAAUAUUUUGAACCGCAUGGUUCAAAAGUGAAAGACGGUCUUGCUGUCACUUAUAGAUGGAUCCGCGCUGCAUUAGCUAGUUGGUAAGGUAACGGCUUACCAAGGCAACGAUGCAUAGCCGACCUGAGAGGGUGAGCGGCCACACUGGAACUGAGACACGGUCCAGACUCCUACGGGAGGCAGCAGUGGGGAAUCUUCCGCAAUGGGCGAAAGCCUGACGGAGCAACGCCGCGUGAGUGAUGAAGGUCUUCGGAUCGUAAAACUCUGUUAUUAGGGAAGAACAUAUGUGUAAGUAACUGUGCACAUCUUGACGGUACCUAAUCAGAAAGCCACGGCUAACUACGUG